RNAcentral lists this ribosomal RNA (253 nucleotides) under uncultured bacterium. Its description in RNAcentral is "partial 16S ribosomal RNA". It matches the Rfam family "Bacterial small subunit ribosomal RNA", at positions 524 to 776 of the family's 1533-position model. The record is from RNAcentral.
GACAGAGGGUGCAAACGUUGCUCGGAAUCACUGGGCGUAAAGGGCGUGUAGGCGGGCAGAUAAGUCGGGCGUGAAAUCCCCAGGCUCAACCUGGGAACUGCACUCGAAACUGUUUGUCUUGAGUAUCGGAGAGGAAAGCGGAAUACCUGGUGUAGAGGUGAAAUUCGUAGAUAUCAGGAGGAAUACCGAUGGCGAAGGCAGCCCCCUGGGUCGAUACUGACGCUCAUGCACGAAAGCGUGGGGAGCAAACAGG